GUUAUAUGGUCAAGUGAAGAAGCGCAUACGGUGGAUGCCUUGGCAGUCAGAGGCGAUGAAAGACGUGGUAGCCUGCGAAAAGCUUCGGGGAGUCGGCAAACAGACUGUGAUCCGGAGAUGUCUGAAUGGGGGAACCCAGCCAUCACAAGAUGGUUAUCUUGCACUGAAUACAUAGGUGCAAGAGGCGAACCAGGGGAACUGAAACAUCUAAGUACCCUGAGGAAAAGAAAUCAACCGAGAUUCCCUUAGUAGUGGCGAGCGAACGGGGACUAGCCCUUAAGCUUCUUUGAUUUUAGCGGAACGCUCUGGAAAGUGCGGCCAUAGUGGGUGAUAGCCCUGUACGCGAAAGGAUCUUAGAAGUGAAAUCGAGUAGGACGGAGCACGAGAAACUUUGUCUGAAUAUGGGGGGACCAUCCUCCAAGGCUAAAUACUACUGACUGACCGAUAGUGAACUAGUACCGUGAGGGAAAGGCGAAAAGAACCCCGGAGAGGGGAGUGAAAUAGAUCCUGAAACCGUAUGCGUACAAGCAGUGGGAGCCCACUUUGUUGGGUGACUGCGUACCUUUUGUAUAAUGGGUCAGCGACUUAUUUUCAGUGGCGAGCUUAACCGAAUAGGGGAGGCGUAGCGAAAGCGAGUCUUAAUAGGGCGUCUAGUCGCUGGGAAUAGACCCGAAACCGGGCGAUCUAUCCAUGGGCAGGUUGAAGGUUAGGUAACACUGACUGGAGGACCGAACCGACUACCGUUGAAAAGUUAGCGGAUGACCUGUGGAUCGGAGUGAAAGGCUAAUCAAGCUCGGAGAUAGCUGGUUCUCCUCGAAAGCUAUUUAGGUAGCGCCUCAUGUAUCACUGUAGGGGGUAGAGCACUGUUUCGGCUAGGGGGUCAUCCCGACUUACCAAACCGAUGCAAACUCCGAAUACCUACAAGUGCCGAGCAUGGGAGACACACGGCGGGUGCUAACGUCCGUCGUGAAAAGGGAAACAACCCAGACCGUCAGCUAAGGUCCCAAAGUUAUGGUUAAGUGGGAAACGAUGUGGGAAGGCUUAGACAGCUAGGAGGUUGGCUUAGAAGCAGCCACCCUUUAAAGAAAGCGUAAUAGCUCACUAGUCGAGUCGGCCUGCGCGGAAGAUGUAACGGGGCUCAAACCAUACACCGAAGCUACGGGUAUCACGUAAGUGAUGCGGUAGAGGAGCGUUCUGUAAGCCUGUGAAGGUGAGUUGAGAAGCUUGCUGGAGGUAUCAGAAGUGCGAAUGCUGACAUGAGUAACGACAAUGGGUGUGAAAAACACCCACGCCGAAAGACCAAGGUUUCCUGCGCAACGUUAAUCGACGCAGGGUUAGUCGGUCCCUAAGGCGAGGCUGAAAAGCGUAGUCGAUGGAAAACAGGUUAAUAUUCCUGUACUUCUGGUUAUUGCGAUGGAGGGACGGAGAAGGCUAGGCCAGCUUGGCGUUGGUUGUCCAAGUUUAAGGUGGUAGGCUGAAAUCUUAGGUAAAUCCGGGGUUUCAAGGCCGAGAGCUGAUGACGAGUUACCCUCUGGGUGACGAAGUGGUUGAUGCCAUGCUUCCAAGAAAAGCUUCUAAGCUUCAGAUAACCAGGAACCGUACCCCAAACCGACACAGGUGGUUGGGUAGAGAAUACCAAGGCGCUUGAGAGAACUCGGGUGAAGGAACUAGGCAAAAUGGCACCGUAACUUCGGGAGAAGGUGCGCCGGUGAGGGUGAAGCACUUGCUGCGUAAGCCCACGCCGGUCGAAGAUACCAGGCCGCUGCGACUGUUUAUUAAAAACACAGCACUCUGCAAACACGAAAGUGGACGUAUAGGGUGUGACGCCUGCCCGGUGCCGGAAGGUUAAUUGAUGGGGUUAGCUAACGCGAAGCUCUUGAUCGAAGCCCCGGUAAACGGCGGCCGUAACUAUAACGGUCCUAAGGUAGCGAAAUUCCUUGUCGGGU
This 1946-nucleotide ribosomal RNA is filed under the name Mesorhizobium sp. RNAcentral describes it as "partial 23S ribosomal RNA". It matches the Rfam family "Bacterial large subunit ribosomal RNA", at positions 1 to 1977 of the family's 2925-position model. The record is from RNAcentral. Lineage: Bacteria; Pseudomonadati; Pseudomonadota; Alphaproteobacteria; Hyphomicrobiales; Phyllobacteriaceae.